Molecule: ribosomal RNA, 429 nt
Filed under: Acidobacteriota bacterium
Lineage: Bacteria; Pseudomonadati; Acidobacteriota
Description: Acidobacteria bacterium partial 16S ribosomal RNA
Rfam family: Bacterial small subunit ribosomal RNA
Source: RNAcentral
UAGGGAAUCUUCCACAAUGGGCGCAAGCCUGAUGGAGCAACGCCGCGUGUGUGAUGAAGGCUUUCGGGUCGUAAAGCACUGUUGUAUGGGAAGAAAUGCUAAAAUAGGGAAUGAUUUUAGUUUGACGGUACCAUACCAGAAAGGGACGGCUAAAUACGUGCCAGCAGCCGCGGUAAUACGUAUGUCCCGAGCGUUAUCCGGAUUUAUUGGGCGUAAAGCGAGCGCAGACGGUUGAUUAAGUCUGAUGUGAAAGCCCGGAGCUCAACUCCGGAAUGGCAUUGGAAACUGGUUAACUUGAGUGUUGUAGAGGUAAGUGAAACACCAUGUGUAGCGGUGGAAUGCGUAACUAUAUGGAAGAACACCAGUGGCGAAGGCGGCUUACUGGACAACAACAGACGUUGAGGCUCGAAAGUGUGGGUAGCAAACAGG